AAAGGCAGAUCGCACAGUAUAGAGUUGGUAUGCGAUAGGGCGUGCGACCUAGCAAUCUGCCAGACGAAAUAGCUCAGUCAUUAUACAGGGGUGAGGUCCUCGAUUCAAAUGAAGGAUACCAGCCCUAAAUCAUGAAGUUGGAUCCACAUCAGGAGAAAAUGUGCACACUGUGAAUGCCGUCAGAUCGAGAGAUUCAGCUUGUGGAAUGUAGGCCUCAGGUGCGAGGUAGCUAGCAUUGGCGAGUAACGGAUUCCGUCCUGCGUUCAUCUGACGACCAACUCAUUCAGGUCAAGACUCUCCGUCUCUCGUCCUGCGAAAGAUCAAGAGUGCCCAAUGGCUGACCCGCA
Trichomycterus rosablanca is the source of this 347-nucleotide long non-coding RNA. RefSeq lists it as uncharacterized. The transcript is spliced from 3 exons. Lineage: Eukaryota; Metazoa; Chordata; Actinopteri; Siluriformes; Trichomycteridae. The record is from RefSeq and is a predicted model, not a curated record.